Molecule: non-coding RNA, 31 nt
Filed under: Rattus norvegicus (Norway rat)
Lineage: Eukaryota; Metazoa; Chordata; Mammalia; Rodentia; Muridae
Source: RNAcentral
UGUAUUGAUUCGCCUUACACUGUGUGGUUGA